GAUGAACGCUGGCGGCGUGCCUAAUACAUGCAAGUCGAGCGAACCACUUCGGUGGUGAGCGGCGUACGGGUGAGUAACACGUAGGUGAUCUGCCCAUCAGACGGGGACAACGAUUGGAAACGAUCGCUAAUACCGGAUAGGACGAAAGUUUAAAGGUGCUUCUGGCACCGCUGAUGGAUGAGCCUGCGGCGCAUUAGCUAGUUGGUAGGGUAAAGGCCUACCAAGGCGACGAUGCGUAGCCGACCUGAGAGGGUGAACGGCCACACUGGGACUGAGACACGGCCCAGACUCCUACGGGAGGCAGCAGUAGGGAAUCUUCGGCAAUGGGCGAAAGCCUGACCGAGCAACGCCGCGUGAAUGAUGAAGGCCUUCGGGUUGUAAAAUUCUGUUAUAAGGGAAGAACGACUUUAGUAGGAAAUGGCUAGAGUGUGACGGUACCUUAUGAGAAAGCCACAGCUAACUACGUGCCAGCCGCCGCGGUAA
Molecule: ribosomal RNA, 483 nt
Filed under: uncultured bacterium
Lineage: Bacteria
Description: partial 16S ribosomal RNA
Rfam family: Bacterial small subunit ribosomal RNA
Source: RNAcentral